UCCCUGGUGGCUCAGACGGUAAAGCGUCUGUCUACAAUGCAGGAGACCCGGGUUCGAGCCCUGGGUUAGGAA
Molecule: non-coding RNA, 72 nt
Organism: Bos taurus (domestic cattle)
Lineage: Eukaryota; Metazoa; Chordata; Mammalia; Artiodactyla; Bovidae
Source: Rfam